GCGGGCGUGGCGAAAUUGGCAGACGCGUCAGAUUUAGGUUCUGGUGGGGUAACACCCGUGGAGGUUCGAGUCCUCUCGCCCGCA
This 84-nucleotide transfer RNA is filed under the name Phycisphaeraceae bacterium. Its description in RNAcentral is "tRNA-Leu". It matches the Rfam family "tRNA". Rfam says of the family: Transfer RNA (tRNA) molecules are approximately 80 nucleotides in length. Their secondary structure includes four short double-helical elements and three loops (D, anti-codon, and T loops). Lineage: Bacteria; Pseudomonadati; Planctomycetota; Phycisphaerae; Phycisphaerales; Phycisphaeraceae. RNAcentral also lists the same sequence under 1 other name. The record is from RNAcentral.